Molecule: ribosomal RNA, 177 nt
Filed under: uncultured bacterium
Lineage: Bacteria
Description: partial 16S ribosomal RNA
Rfam family: Bacterial small subunit ribosomal RNA
Source: RNAcentral
GGGCGCCCGAAUUUUCUAUAGUGUUUUUACGGGGGGCAGCGGUGAGGAAUAUUGCAUCAAGGGUGGAAGCAUGAUGCAGCUCCUCCUCUCGAGGAAAGAAGGCUUUCGGGUCGUAAACCUUUUUUAUCAGGAAGGGAUGAUGACCGUCCCUGAUUAAUAACCACCGCCUUUUCCAGU